CUUUCUGAUUGAGUGUAAGCUGCUAUAUGAAGGGAUCCACAAGACGAAUAAUUAAGGGGGACCUCUGAUCAACAGCCAGCAAGGAACUGAAUCCCUCAGACCCACAACUCACAAGAAACUGAAGCUGAAGCAGAUUCUUCCUCAGUCAAGCUUCAGGUGCCCAGCUGUAUUGGUAGAGGAGACCAACCACACCCUCCACAGCACAGCACCUGGAGAGGAACUGCUGCCAUGACCAUAGAGGACACCCUCUGGAUACAAUGCCAGACUUGAUGUGGGACUGACCAACCUAUGGACCCCAGGCACCACCACCCAGACCUGCUCAGCACCUGAAAGUAAGUCCUACCCUUCUGAAGGAAACUCUAGGGUGGCAGCAUGAACUUCUCUGCCUCAGAGGACAAUAGGGAAAGUGAUGUCCUCCAGGAAGCACAGAGAAGUACUGGGAUGAGAGAACAGAGACGAUCUACAAGGAUGAGAUCAGCAUUCACAGCCGUGGAGAGAGAACUGUUCACUGCUACCAUCCACACUUCUGGGCCCCUUCAGCAGCAGGGUGACAAGGAAGAGGGAAAUCGACUUGGAAAAGAGGGGACCUCUGACCCAAGAGUUCGGUCAAUGCAUAUGUUGGCAGCCAGCUGCACAUCGCACCAAAUAUGAACUUCAAAUAGAAGAAAGCCUCAUUUGGAAGAAAGCUCAUGCACAGACUGUAAAUAUUUCAGAGCAGAUUGUGUCUCUGUAGAUUAAUAACCAAAAAAUAGAAGAUUCAGAAGAACUAGCAAAUGUGGAGAGAACGGAUGAAAUGGAAGCAGUGUGAACCUAGUGAAUACUUGCCAAGCUGUAUCUCCCCUGAAUUUGUCAAAACAUCAUCUCCAGCAUCUGAGCUAGACCAACCCUCAGUGCUAACAUUGAUGUGAUUAAAGAGUCUGAACUGGGAGCAGAAUUC
Molecule: long non-coding RNA, 937 nt
Organism: Homo sapiens (human)
Lineage: Eukaryota; Metazoa; Chordata; Mammalia; Primates; Hominidae
Product: MIR3976 host gene
Source: Ensembl